UGGGCUACAGAACUUCUGUUUACUUAGUACGCAUGACAAUUUCCAAAAAAUAUUGCUUAGUAAAUACCAUAACAAGUUGCAAGUAAUUUAUUGGAAUUUUAAGGUUAAAAUUCCACGAAGGUUUAUGUUUCAUAUCCAGUGUUCAUAUUUGGGUGGCUUCAGAACAGAACCAAACUUACAAAAGGUCUUCUGGAACAGGACUCUGAUUCUACUUUGUUGUUUUUCAGAAAUGGAGUCAUCAUUAAGAGAGACAGCCAGGGGCAUUCAUAUUGUGCUGCUAGAGGUGAAAUUCUUGGACUAGUGCACAAGUGAAGGCGUUUGCCAAGAAUGUUUUCAUUAAUCAGGAACGAAAGUCAGAGCUUCAAAGACAACCAAACGUCAUCGUAGUUCCAGCCAUAAAUUACACUGACUGGUGAAAAAGUUUCUUGGGGGCAGUCUCUGUGGUGCA
This 448-nucleotide non-coding RNA is filed under the name Patagioenas fasciata monilis. RNAcentral's name for it is "Eukaryotic small subunit ribosomal RNA". It matches the Rfam family "Eukaryotic small subunit ribosomal RNA", at positions 635 to 1085 of the family's 1831-position model. The record is from Rfam by way of RNAcentral. Lineage: Eukaryota; Metazoa; Chordata; Aves; Columbiformes; Columbidae.